This 253-nucleotide ribosomal RNA is filed under the name uncultured bacterium. Its description in RNAcentral is "partial 16S ribosomal RNA". It matches the Rfam family "Bacterial small subunit ribosomal RNA", at positions 524 to 776 of the family's 1533-position model. The record is from RNAcentral.
GACGAACCGUCCGAACGUUAUUCGGAAUCACUGGGCUUAAAGGGUGCGUAGGCGGCGCGGAAAGUUGGGUGUGAAAUCCCUCGGCUCAACCACGGGCCUGCAUCCGAUACUGGCGGGCUCGAGGCAGGCAGGGGAGAUCGGAAUUCCUGGUGUAGCGGUGAAAUGCGCAGAUAUCGGGAGGAACACCUGUGGCGAAAGCGGCUCACUGGACCACAACUGACGCUGAGGCGCGAAAGCUAGGGGAGCAAACAGG